Molecule: non-coding RNA, 114 nt
Organism: Mycena latifolia
Lineage: Eukaryota; Fungi; Basidiomycota; Agaricomycetes; Agaricales; Mycenaceae
Source: the annotation of a GenBank genome assembly
GACCCAGUGGUGUAAUGGUAGCACAUCCGUGAACUGUCAAGAGAGCGAAUGGAAGUUUUCAGAGGAAGGUCCUUGUUUCAGAGGAAGGUCCUUGUUCGAUCCAAGGCUGGGCCG